Molecule: long non-coding RNA, 1172 nt
Filed under: Anser brachyrhynchus (Pink-footed goose)
Lineage: Eukaryota; Metazoa; Chordata; Aves; Anseriformes; Anatidae
Description: lncRNA (ENSABRG00000016099.1)
Source: RNAcentral
CUCUAUACCCAAAGAUUAUUUCAGUAGGCUGGCACAUAGCUUUACUGACAGAUCAAAAGCUGUGCUUCCCACUCCUUCCUUUUCCACAUCUUCUUGCCACUACUCCUGCUUUGGCCAGGAAGCACACAAUUUGGUAUGAGUUGAGCCAAUUCAUCACUGACCAAAGAAAUAUUCUGAUUCUAAAGAGAAAGAUAAAUUUUGUUGUGGCUGAAUGUGUUAUCUGUCUGAAGGGAUGGGAGAAAAUGAUCAGACAGUGACUAGAAGCAGUUUACUGGACAGUAGCAGUUCAAUUUUUCCCCCGUUAAAUGGCAUGUAUAACUCAGAAAUGUGAUAUAUGGAGUAAUAACUCGCAUCAAGAUGGUUGAUGUUAAUAAAGAAGGGGGAGAUGUGGGAGCGUGGCCAUGGGGGUCGACAAGCCCCAUGGUUGGUGAUAACAUCAGACUCUUAACGAUGAGGCCACCAGGAAUGUGAAGAGUAGAGAGGGAACAAAGAAGGGUGAUUCCGGAGACGCCUUGCCGUCUCGGGUUGCUUGUUCUCCCUCCGUUAAGGCGUGGGAGUUGCUGGGCGGUUGCUGUUGCCGGGCGAGGUUGUUUGCAACGCGGGAAAAGGCGGCCCCGCAUGGGCUUGUGUCGAUCGCAUUUUGUUGCUGUCGGGAACCGUGGGGGGGGCAGAGCAUGCGCAGAAGAAGAGGGAGCCCGUCGAAGCCGCCCCUGCGGUGUGGACGAGAUAAUUACAAUAGGAAGCGGGGACAGAGGAAAGCAGGGAUAAAGAGAAGAUUUUCAAAAUACCUUCCCAGUGUGUUACCAGCAGAAAACAUCUGUUUUUCCACAUUGCAUUCUGCCUUACAGAAUGGAAGCAGGUCAGAACAAUUCCACCUGUCUUCAGGUUUACAAGGAGGGAUCUGCUUCCACCACUGUGCAAGAUGUAACAGUGAAAGCAACUGUCAAGAGACCUCAAGUCACUAUUCAGGAACCUUCGCACACCUUCGUGAGGAGAAAGAAAAGAAAGAAAGAAAAAAAAAAACAGGGAAGGGGACGUGGGGAGGCUGCUGGUGAGUGAUUGAUUUUACAAACAGACAUUUUGACACAGGAUGUUAGGUUCUGCAAACGUAUAGAGAAAAUAUUUGUUCCCUUAAAUAUUUAAAGCUUUUUAAUGUGUUCAUGUUUUGCUAG